CAGAUAAUUAAAAGGCUACAGAUAGCCACAAACAGAUGUAAGGCAUUGUGUUUUAGUGCCAGAGCUGUUUCACCAGUGGCAAUUUAGAAGUUUGACAUGAGUCCCAGCAUGCCCAAAUUGUGCUCUCAGCUGAACAAGAGCAGGAGCAGAGCUGUGGCAGGAACUGCAGGUGGAGAGCCUGGGACAGUGAAGAGAUCCAAACAGAUACGUGCACUGUGUCUUCUGAUGAGGGGAGGGAAGAGGAAGGAAGCCCAGCAGACAGAUCUCAUCUUUCCAGGCCCGCAGUCUGCAGAGGAGCUGCAGAGAGCACUGCCACAGCCCAUUUCACCUCCAGACGAGGGAAGGGAAGCUGGCACUGUGCCUGGAGAAGCCAUUUCAGAUGCUUACUGGGUUG
This is a long non-coding RNA of Pseudopipra pipra, 394 nucleotides long. RefSeq lists it as uncharacterized. The record is from RefSeq and is a predicted model, not a curated record. Lineage: Eukaryota; Metazoa; Chordata; Aves; Passeriformes; Pipridae. The transcript has 3 exons.